This 1002-nucleotide long non-coding RNA is filed under the name Fragaria vesca (wild strawberry). Its description in RNAcentral is "long non-coding RNA (FVES_LNC004930)". Lineage: Eukaryota; Viridiplantae; Streptophyta; Magnoliopsida; Rosales; Rosaceae. The record is from RNAcentral.
GACAAGCUAAAGUUGCUUGGUCGUAGCCUCGGUGAGACCGUAUUGCGUAUGAACAUGGGGCACAGGACACUUCAACUUACAUCCCGAUAAACUUCUUUAAAAAAUGGGUAGUGAGCCCGUAGAAGUAUAAGCAGCAUAAGCAGUAGAUAAUAGUGUAACACGUGACCAGAGUGUUAACACUUCAACCAACACCAUAAAGCAUAAAAAGGUGUCCGCAAGUUGGUUGUAUCUAUCUACAUAGUUUGAUGUAAGAAUAGAAUGUUCACUUUUGUGUUAUUUAGCAUAGGAGGGUCUCACUCCUUAUUUAGCUAAAGAAUAGGCUUUCAAAACGAGCAAUGAGCAUUGCAGGGGGCCAAUGCGACAUCGAGGAAAGGCCGGUGCACCUCAAUUGCAUGAGGAAUUGACCGGACGACCUCCAGGAAGUUGGAGUCGUGUUCGGGUGACCUCAAUGUCCCCCGGGUCACCACCAUGCUUCAUGGUGAUGCUAGAUCUCGAAUGUCUUCAUUUUGAGCGGAAUAAUGGAUGUCCAUGAGAUUUUCUCAAAAUUUGGACCAUUAUAUCUCUUCCAGGUUGACCAAUUUGGUCAAACCAAAGCCUAUAUGAGUCGGUGUCCCAAAUAUCAUGUAUUGCGACACCAUGGGAUUCGAUAUUCGAAUCGUAGUGACAUACAGUUCACUAGAUUGACUCAUGAAUUUCUCCAAGAUGCGCUUCAGUUCGCAUUCAUGAGGAGGUAUACACAAAAGAAUUCUUGUUCAUUCUCACAAUGUGUUUUCAAAUGAAAACCAUUAGCAGGAAUGUCUUUAAAACUUAACAUGGUUCCUUAGAAUGUUGUGGAUAGUUCCACUAUCUGCGAAGCACUCAAUGUCUCUAUGAGACAUAACUACAAGGAGUAGAUAGGCGAGUAAAUAGUUCUACUUGAACCAUUUAGAAGGAUUGAAAGAAGCUACGAAAAGCUGCAAUCCCGAGAGUGCAUAAAAAUUUCCGCGCAGAAUGACCUUUGCG